Molecule: ribosomal RNA, 253 nt
Filed under: uncultured bacterium
Lineage: Bacteria
Description: partial 16S ribosomal RNA
Rfam family: Bacterial small subunit ribosomal RNA
Source: RNAcentral
UACGGAGGGGGCAAGCGUUGUUCGGAAUUACUGGGCGGAAAGGGCUCGUAGGCGGCCAAUUAAGUCAGACGUGAAAUCCCUCGGCUUAACCGGGGAACUGCGUCUGAUACUGGAUGGCUCGAAUCCGGGAGAGGGAUGCGGAAUUCCAGGUGUAGCGGUGAAAUGCGUAGAUAUCUGGAGGAACACCGGUGGCGAAGGCGGCAUCCUGGACCGGCAUUGACGCUGAGGAGCGAAAGCCAGGGGAGCAAACGGG